Molecule: long non-coding RNA, 546 nt
Organism: Phascolarctos cinereus (koala)
Lineage: Eukaryota; Metazoa; Chordata; Mammalia; Diprotodontia; Phascolarctidae
Source: RefSeq, a predicted model, not a curated record
AGCUGACACACACUUUCCCUCUCUGCCAAAAGGAGAGCAGCUGAUAAACUUGUGACUUGGCUUAAUGAUAAUUUCAUCCUUCAAAAGAGCUUGAAGAGCUGAUGACUCAGUGAAUAUACAAAUGGAAGAAGCCAAUGCCUCAGCCUCUCAGCCUCUUUUUCUGAUUCUGAAUUGUGUCAAGAUGUUUUUAAGCUGCUUUCAGAGAAGGUGGAGUAUCUAUCCCAAGAUGUCUCAGCUUUCCAGGUGACCUUGUGAGUUUGAGAGGUCUUGGGGCUCAUUGGGUCGGAGCUAAAUGAUGCCAGAGGAGGAUACUCUAGCAACUAUUCCAGCUCUCUGGAAGAGUAUGACUACCAACAAAAAAAUAUGUCCCCAAUAUGACCAUUUCCUCAGCAAAAGUAUGGGGGUUAAGAGUGAUUUCAAAAGUACAGAGUUGAAGUGAAAUGUAAAAUUCCUAUUUAGCAAUCCUACAAACUGUUUUAUGUUUGGAUGAGGCUUAAGUAUCAGCUUCUCAAACAAUUGUAACAGCAGUUACAAAUUAAAUCACUA